CGCCCGCCCGCAGCUGCACCCUUGCCCUGUCGCGGCCUCGCCCUCUCCCCCUGCAAUAGGCUGCAAUGGCCAGAUGCCGGAGGAUGUGCUCAACGAAACCCAAGUCGGCGACACGAAGGUCUGCAAUGGAUAGCCACUCUUUUCAUAGCAGAAAUCAGAAGGGAAUUCGGGCAGCCUAUGCCCUUGAGAAGGACUGCCGAAUCCGUAAUGAGGAUAAAAGCCCACUAUAUGAUGUGAUGCGUAAAGAAGUCGGGCAAGCUGUUUAAGAAAUCAGGACUCAGCUUGAGAAAGAAGUUUAUAUGUUGUGGAGGUUUUAAAUAUGGCAGUCAAGGGAUUUAGAUAGCCUGUUGGUUUUCUCUCUAUUUUUAAAGCCUUCUAUUUUUAUA
Long non-coding RNA from Oryza brachyantha (malo sina), 386 nucleotides. RefSeq lists it as uncharacterized. NCBI's taxonomy places the organism in Eukaryota, Viridiplantae, Streptophyta, Magnoliopsida, Poales, Poaceae. The record is from RefSeq and is a predicted model, not a curated record. The transcript has 3 exons.